RNAcentral lists this small nucleolar RNA (73 nucleotides) under Hucho hucho (huchen). Its description in RNAcentral is "Small nucleolar RNA SNORD49 (ENSHHUG00000034339.1)". It matches the Rfam family "Small nucleolar RNA SNORD49". Rfam says of the family: U49 belongs to the C/D class of snoRNA which contain the C (UGAUGA) and D (CUGA) box motifs. Most of the members of the box C/D family function in directing site-specific 2'-O-methylation of substrate RNAs. The record is from Rfam by way of RNAcentral. Lineage: Eukaryota; Metazoa; Chordata; Actinopteri; Salmoniformes; Salmonidae.
UUCAGAGAUGAAAUUGCUGCAUAGGAAGUGCCGUCUGAUGCGAUAACUGACGUUGGAUAAAGCUGCUCUGAGA